This 438-nucleotide ribosomal RNA is filed under the name Streptomyces sp. SID7982. RNAcentral's name for it is "bacterial SSU rRNA". It matches the Rfam family "Bacterial small subunit ribosomal RNA", at positions 1 to 441 of the family's 1533-position model. The record is from RNAcentral. Lineage: Bacteria; Bacillati; Actinomycetota; Actinomycetes; Kitasatosporales; Streptomycetaceae.
CAUUCACGGAGAGUUUGAUCCUGGCUCAGGACGAACGCUGGCGGCGUGCUUAACACAUGCAAGUCGAACGAUGAAGCCCUUCGGGGUGGAUUAGUGGCGAACGGGUGAGUAACACGUGGGCAAUCUGCCCUGCACUCUGGGACAAGCCCUGGAAACGGGGUCUAAUACCGGAUAUGACCGUCCAUCGCAUGGUGGAUGGUGUAAAGCUCCGGCGGUGCAGGAUGAGCCCGCGGCCUAUCAGCUAGUUGGUGAGGUAGUGGCUCACCAAGGCGACGACGGGUAGCCGGCCUGAGAGGGCGACCGGCCACACUGGGACUGAGACACGGCCCAGACUCCUACGGGAGGCAGCAGUGGGGAAUAUUGCACAAUGGGCGAAAGCCUGAUGCAGCGACGCCGCGUGAGGGAUGACGGCCUUCGGGUUGUAAACCUCUUUCAGCA